GCUGGGCAUAGUGGUGCGUGCCUGUAGUCCCAGCUACUUGGGAGGCUAAGGUGGGAGGAUUGCUUGAGUUUAGGAGUUUGAGGCUGCAGUGAGCUAUAAUUGCCCCAUGGCACUCCAGCCUGGGCAACAGAGCAAGACCCUGUCUCUU
Unclassified non-coding RNA from Pongo abelii (Sumatran orangutan), 148 nucleotides. It matches the Rfam family "Metazoan signal recognition particle RNA". Rfam says of the family: The signal recognition particle (SRP) is a universally conserved ribonucleoprotein. It is involved in the co-translational targeting of proteins to membranes. The record is from Ensembl. Lineage: Eukaryota; Metazoa; Chordata; Mammalia; Primates; Hominidae.